GGCUAACGCUGGCGGCGUGUCUUAGCCAUGCAAGUCGAGCGGACUUAUGGGGUAACUUAUAAGUCAGCGGCGGACGGCGGAGUAACACGUAGCUAACCUACCCUCUGGACGGGGAUAACCUACCGAAAGGUGGGCUAAUACCCGAUGUAGUCAUCCUGUAUAGGGGUGAUGAAAGGUGGGCUUCUGUUUACAAGCUCAUGCUGGAGGAGGGGGCUGCGGCCUAUCAGGUAGUUGGUAGGGUAAUAGCCUACCAAGCCGAUGACGGGUAGCCGGCCUGAGAGGGUGACCGGCCCGAGGGGCACUGAGAUACGGGUCCCACUCCUACGGGAGGCAGCAGGCUAGAAAUUUGGGCAAUGGGGGAAACCCUGACCCAGUGACGCCGCGUGCAGGAAGGAGCCCUUCGGGGUGUAAACUGCUGUCGUGUAGGGAGAAGGGUACUAAGGUGAACAAUCUAGUACUGACGUAUACAGGAGGAAGCCCAGGCUAACCUCGUGCCAGCAGCCGCGGUAAGAUAGCGUACU
This 521-nucleotide ribosomal RNA is filed under the name uncultured bacterium. RNAcentral describes it as "bacterial SSU rRNA". It matches the Rfam family "Bacterial small subunit ribosomal RNA", at positions 28 to 531 of the family's 1533-position model. The record is from RNAcentral.